This 375-nucleotide ribosomal RNA is filed under the name uncultured Clostridium sp. RNAcentral describes it as "bacterial SSU rRNA". It matches the Rfam family "Bacterial small subunit ribosomal RNA", at positions 397 to 789 of the family's 1533-position model. The record is from RNAcentral. Lineage: Bacteria; Bacillati; Bacillota; Clostridia; Eubacteriales; Clostridiaceae.
CCGCGUGAGUGAUGACGGCCUUCGGGUUGUAAAGCUCUGUCUUUGGGGACGAUAAUGACGGUACCCAAGGAGGAAGCCACGGCUAACUACGUGCCAGCAGCCGCGGUAAUACGUAGGUGGCAAGCGUUGUCCGGAUUUACUGGGCGUAAAGGGAGCGUAGGCGGAUUUUUAAGUGGGAUGUGAAAUACCCGGGCUCAACCUGGGUGCUGCAUUCCAAACUGGAAAUCUAGAGUGCAGGAGGGGAAAGUGGAAUUCCUAGUGUAGCGGUGAAAUGCGUAGAGAUUAGGAAGAACACCAGUGGCGAAGGCGACUUUCUGGACUGUAACUGACGCUGAGGCUGGAAAGCGUGGGGAGCAAACAGGAUUAGAUACCCUG